UACAGAGGUCCCAAGCGUUGUUCGGAUUCAUUGGGCGUAAAGGGUGCGUAGGCGGCGCGGUAAGUCGGGUGUGAAAUCUCGGAGCUUAACUCCGAAACUGCAUUCGAUACUGCCGUGCUUGAGGACUGGAGAGGAGACUGGAAUUUACGGUGUAGCGGUGAAAUGCGUAGAUAUCGGAAGGAAGACCAGUGGCGAAGGCGGGUCUCUGGACAGUUCCUGACGCUGAGGCACGAAAGCUAGGGGAGCAAACAGG
This 253-nucleotide ribosomal RNA is filed under the name uncultured bacterium. RNAcentral describes it as "partial 16S ribosomal RNA". It matches the Rfam family "Bacterial small subunit ribosomal RNA", at positions 524 to 776 of the family's 1533-position model. The record is from RNAcentral.